GCUUUUUUCCACUCCGCUAAACUGUCAUCUCAAACAAAAACAAAUGGAUCAUACAACUGCUAUGAAUACAUUCGAUUCGUUUGCUUCCAUCAAUCGGUAAGUGAGAAAGAUGAUUUCUCCCAUCACCACAGUGCGGAUUUCCACUUCUAUCACAGCAGCCAACAACAUCCGUUUUCCUGCAUCAGUAACCUCCAACCCCUGUUGGCAAUGCCAGGGGACAGCAUCAACAGCAGCAGCAGCAGAAUUUGACCAUGGUAUGGUAUUGCGAAGAACUUUCCCCAUUAGAGGUUCCGUGCUUCGCGCACAUUCAAAAAUCCUCUUCAGACACGAAAACUCAACGACAAGGAGGUAUUUAUCAACUUGCUCAGCUGAAUUACCACCCCGGAGGAACCCGAAUGCACUGAUUCCGUUGUAUAGUAGAAUGAAAAUAGGCGAGGUAAGCAAAGCAAACGUAUUCGCAUGAUAUUUUAAUGUUCGCAUUUUUAUCCGGAUCAUACAACUGCUAUGAAUACAUUCCACUCAAUCAAUCGGCGAAUGAGAAAGAUGAUUUCCCUUAUCACCACAUUGCUUAUUUCCACUUCUGGCACACCAGCCAACAGCAUCAGCUUUCCCGCAGCAGUAUCCUUUAAGUCCAGGGUGCUAUUCCGGGGAACAGCAUCAACAGCAACGCAGCAGGACCUGGCCAUCGAUAGUAUUUCGAGCAAUUUUCCCCAUCGGAGAUCCCGUGCUUCACGCACAUUGAAGAAUCCUCCUCAGCCACAUAUCUGUGUCAUCAAGGGCAAGGAGGUAUUCAUCAAUGUACUCA
Toxorhynchites rutilus septentrionalis is the source of this 805-nucleotide long non-coding RNA. RefSeq lists it as uncharacterized. The transcript is spliced from 3 exons. NCBI's taxonomy places the organism in Eukaryota, Metazoa, Arthropoda, Insecta, Diptera, Culicidae. The record is from RefSeq and is a predicted model, not a curated record.